Non-coding RNA from Podarcis lilfordi (Lilford's wall lizard), 76 nucleotides. The record is from the annotation of a GenBank genome assembly. NCBI's taxonomy places the organism in Eukaryota, Metazoa, Chordata, Lepidosauria, Squamata, Lacertidae.
UGUAGCUCAGUCAGUAGAGCAUGAGGCUGCACCUCUGUCUCGAGGUUGUGGGUUUGAGCCCCACAUUGGGGAAAAG